GAUGAACGCUAGCGGCAGGCUUAACACAUGCAAGUCGAGGGGCAGCAUAAACAUUGCUUGCAAUGUUUGAUGGCGACCGGCGCGCGGGUGCGUAACGCGUAUGUAACCUACCUCAAACAGGGGCAUAACACUGAGAAAUUGGUACUAAUUCCCCAUAACACCUGAUAGGGCAUCCUAUUAGGUUGAAAGUUCCGGCGGUUUGAGAUGGACAUGCGUUGUAUUAGCUAGUUGGUGGGGUAACGGCUCACCAAGGCGACGAUACAUAGGGGGACUGAGAGGAUAAAUCCCCCCACACUGGUACUGAGAUACGGACCCAGACUCCUACGGGGAGGCAGCAGUGAGGAAUAUUGGGCAAUGGACGAAGUCUGACCCAGCC
RNAcentral lists this ribosomal RNA (376 nucleotides) under uncultured bacterium. RNAcentral describes it as "bacterial SSU rRNA". It matches the Rfam family "Bacterial small subunit ribosomal RNA", at positions 28 to 393 of the family's 1533-position model. The record is from RNAcentral.